GUGCUUCACUCCGCAGCACACACACUAAAACUAGAAAUGGACAGAGAACAGCACAGCCCCUCAAAAAGGAUGACACAAAAAUUUGUGAAAAAUACCACUAAAAA
Molecule: small nuclear RNA, 104 nt
Organism: Psammomys obesus (fat sand rat)
Lineage: Eukaryota; Metazoa; Chordata; Mammalia; Rodentia; Muridae
Source: RefSeq, a predicted model, not a curated record